UACGGGGGGAGCAAGCGUUGUUCGGAUUUACUGGGCGUAAAGGGCGCGUAGGCGGUCGUGACAAGUCACUUGUGAAAUCUCCGGGCUUAACUCGGAACGGUCAAGUGAUACUGUCGGACUAGAGUACAGAAGGGGCAACUGGAAUUCUCGGUGUAGCAGUGAAAUGCGUAGAUAUCGAGAGGAACACCAGUGGCGAAGGCGAGUCCCUGGACAAUACCUGACACUGAGGCACGAAAGCUAGGGGAGCAAACAGG
RNAcentral lists this ribosomal RNA (254 nucleotides) under uncultured bacterium. RNAcentral describes it as "partial 16S ribosomal RNA". It matches the Rfam family "Bacterial small subunit ribosomal RNA", at positions 524 to 776 of the family's 1533-position model. The record is from RNAcentral.